AGUGAACGCUGGCGGUAGGCCUAACACAUGCAAGUCGAACGGCAGCACAGUAAGAGCUUGCUCUUACGGGUGGCGAGUGGCGGACGGGUGAGGAAUACAUCGGAAUCUACUUUUUCGUGGGGGAUAACGUAGGGAAACUUACGCUAAUACCGCAUACGACCUACGGGUGAAAGCAGGGGAUCUUCGGACCUUGCGCGAUUGAAUGAGCCGAUGUCGGAUUAGCUAGUUGGCGGGGUAAAGGCCCACCAAGGCCACGAUCCGUAGCUGGUCUGAGAGGAUGAUCAGCCACACGGGAACUGAGACACGGUCCAGACUCCUACGGGAGGCAGCAGUGGGGAAUAUUGGACAAUGGGCGCAAGCCUGAUCCAGCCAUACCGCGUGGGUGAAGAAGGCCUUCGGGUUGUAAAGCCCUGUUGUUGGGAAAGAAAAGCAGCAGGUUAAUACCCCGCUGUUCUGACGGUACCCAAAGAAUAAGCACCGGCUAACUUCGUG
RNAcentral lists this ribosomal RNA (492 nucleotides) under uncultured bacterium. RNAcentral's name for it is "partial 16S ribosomal RNA". It matches the Rfam family "Bacterial small subunit ribosomal RNA", at positions 29 to 507 of the family's 1533-position model. The record is from RNAcentral.